RNAcentral lists this ribosomal RNA (209 nucleotides) under uncultured eukaryote. Its description in RNAcentral is "partial 18S ribosomal RNA". It matches the Rfam family "Eukaryotic small subunit ribosomal RNA", at positions 604 to 819 of the family's 1831-position model. The record is from RNAcentral.
UUAAAGUUGUUGCAGUUAAAAAGCUCGUAGUUGAACCUUGGGCCUGGCUGGCCGGUCCGCCUCACCGCGUGUACUGGUCCGGCCGGGCCUUUCCUUCUGGGGAACCUCAUGCCCUUCACUGGGCGUGUCGGGGAACCAGGACUUUUACUUUGAAAAAAUUAGAGUGUUCAAAGCAGGCCUUUGCUCGAAUACAUUAGCAUGGAAUAAUA